Molecule: ribosomal RNA, 1242 nt
Filed under: Coxiella endosymbiont of Amblyomma sculptum
Lineage: Bacteria; Pseudomonadati; Pseudomonadota; Gammaproteobacteria; Legionellales; Coxiellaceae
Description: bacterial SSU rRNA
Rfam family: Bacterial small subunit ribosomal RNA
Source: RNAcentral
GACAACCCGAGGAAACUCGGGCUAAUACCGCAUAUUCUUUUUUAAAUAAAAAAGGAAAGCGGGGGAUCUUCGGACCUCGCGCUAUGAGAUGAGCCUACGUCGGAUUAGUUAGUUGGUAGGGUAAUAGCCUACCAAGACUAUGAUCCGUAGCUGGUCUGAGAGGACGAUCAGCCACACUGGGACUGAGACACGGCCCAGACUCCUAUGGGAGGCAGCAGUGGGGAAUAUUGGACAAUGGGGGAAACCCUGAUCCAGCAAUGCCGCGUGUGUGAAGAAGGCCUUCGGGUUGUAAAGCACUUUCGGUAGGAAAGAAAGUCUUAAAGCUAAUACCUUUGAAGAGUUGACGUUACCUACAGAAGAAGCACUGGCUAACUCUGUGCCAGCAGCCGCGGUAAUACAGAGAGUGCAAGCGUUAAUCGGAAUUAUUGGGCGUAAAGCGCGCGUAGGUGGAUUUUUAAGUCGGAUGUGAAAGCCCUGAGCUUAACUUGGGAAUUGCGUCCGAUACUGAAUUUCUUGAGUAUGGUAGAGGGAAGUGGAAUUUCCGGUGUAGCGGUGAAAUGCGUAGAUAUCGGAAGGAACACCAGUGGCGAAGGCGACUUCCUGGAUCAAUACUGACACUGAGGCGCGAAAGCGUAGGGAGCAAACAGGAUUAGAGAGGGGAGUUUACUUUCUAGUAGCGAAGCUAACGCGUUAAGUUCUCCGCCUGGGGAGUACGGCCGCAAGGUUAAAACUCAAAGAAAUUGACGGGGGCCCGCACAAGCGGUGGAGCAUGUGGUUUAAUUCGAUGCAACACGAAAAACCUUACCUACCCUUGACAUCCUCGGAACUUGUCAGAGAUGACUAGGUGCCUUCGGGAACCGAGUGACAGGUGCUGCAUGGCUGUCGUCAGCUCGUGUCGUGAGAUGUUGGGUUAAGUCCCGUAACGAGCGCAACCCUCGUCCUUAGUUGCCAGCGGUUCGGCCGGGAACUCUAAGGAGACUGCCGGUGAUAAACCGGAGGAAGGUGGGGAUGAUGUCAAGUCAUCAUGGCCCUUAUGGGUAGGGCUACACACGUGCUACAAUGGGUAGUACAGAGGGUUGCCAAAUCGUGAGGUGGAGCUAAUCCCAGAAAGCUGUUCGUAGUCCGGAUUGGAGUCUGCAACUCGACUCUAUGAAGCUGGAAUCGCUAGUAAUCGCGAAUCAGAAUGUCGCGGUGAAUACGUUCUCGGGCCUUGUACACACCGCCCGUCACACCAUGGGAGUG